UACAGAGGUCUCAAGCGUUGUUCGGAUUCAUUGGGCGUAAAGGGUGCGUAGGUGGCGCCGUAAGUCGGGUGUGAAAUUUCGGAGCUUAACUCCGAAACUGCAUUCGAUACUGCGGUGCUUGAGGACUGGAGAGGAGACUGGAAUUCAUGGUGUAGCAGUGAAAUGCGUAGAGAUCAUGAGGAAGACCAGUGGCGAAGGCGGGUCUCUGGACAGUUCCUGACGCUGAGACACGAAGGCCAGGGGAGCAAACGGG
RNAcentral lists this ribosomal RNA (253 nucleotides) under uncultured bacterium. Its description in RNAcentral is "partial 16S ribosomal RNA". It matches the Rfam family "Bacterial small subunit ribosomal RNA", at positions 524 to 776 of the family's 1533-position model. The record is from RNAcentral.